AUUGAACGCUGGCGGCAGGCCUAACACAUGCAAGUCGAGCGGAUGAAGGGAGCUUGCUCCUGGAUUCAGCGGCGGACGGGUGAGUAAUGCCUAGGAAUCUGCCUGGUAGUGGGGGAUAACGUCCGGAAACGGGCGCUAAUACCGCAUACGUCCUGAGGGAGAAAGUGGGGGAUCUUCGGACCUCACGCUAUCAGAUGAGCCUAGGUCGGAUUAGCUAGUUGGUGGGGUAAAGGCCUACCAAGGCGACGAUCCGUAACUGGUCUGAGAGGAUGAUCAGUCACACUGGAACUGAGACACGGUCCAGACUCCUACGGGAGGCAGCAGUGGGGAAUAUUGGACAAUGGGCGAAAGCCUGAUCCAGCCAAGCCGCGUGUGUGAAGAAGGUCUUCGGAUUGUAAAGCACUUUAAGUUGGGAGGAAGGGCAGUAAGUUAAUACCUUGCUGUUUUGACGUUACCAACAGAAUAAGCACCGGCUAACUUCGU
This 483-nucleotide ribosomal RNA is filed under the name uncultured bacterium. RNAcentral describes it as "partial 16S ribosomal RNA". It matches the Rfam family "Bacterial small subunit ribosomal RNA", at positions 30 to 506 of the family's 1533-position model. The record is from RNAcentral.